Cryptomeria japonica (Japanese cedar) is the source of this 2297-nucleotide RNA transcript. It is a transcript of the gene named elongation factor Tu, mitochondrial, with no coding region annotated. The transcript has 13 exons. Lineage: Eukaryota; Viridiplantae; Streptophyta; Pinopsida; Cupressales; Cupressaceae. The record is from RefSeq and is a predicted model, not a curated record.
UAUAACUAUUUGAAGCGCUAAUCUAAAACCCUACGCUAAAGCCCUUGGGGUUUUGUACUGCAUUCAAUACCAGGGGUUUUGUACUGCAUUCAAUACCAGGGUUUUACGCCUCGAGGCUUCUUCUAUUCUUUCAUUCCUCUACCUAUUCGCUAUUCAUUUUUUCUUAAUCCAAACUCAUUUUUACUCUUAUAAUUUUAAUGACAUUUGCUACAAAGAAUGCAAAUGCAAGGGUUUUUUGAGCUGUGGAGCUUUUAAGCUGAUACUUCGAUGCACUGUCUUUUAUUCGUGUAUUGUCUGGGGUUCGAUUCUCGUCCAGGUCGUGCAUUUUAGGUUUCUGAACACAUGGCGGCUGCUGCUGUUACCAGGGCCAGGUCUUCGAAGUCCUUGGGUCGACUCUCGGCCCCCCUAUCGUAUGCGUUAAGAGACGUGUCUUCGUCUUCUUCUUCUGGUUGCCAUGAAUGGGGAACAGAUCUUUGGUGGAGGAGGACCAUGGCAACGUUCACCAGAACGAAACCUCAUGUGAAUAUUGGAACCAUUGGACAUGUUGACCAUGGGAAAACGACUUUGACAGCUGCAAUUACGAAGGUAUUGGCAGAAGAAGGUAAAGCUAAGGCAGUUGCUUUUGAUGAGAUUGACAAGGCUCCAGAGGAGAAAGCUCGAGGAAUUACCAUUGCUACGGCACAUGUCGAGUAUGAAACAACCAAGCGACAUUAUGCACAUGUAGAUUGCCCUGGACAUGCAGAUUAUGUGAAAAACAUGAUUACGGGAGCAGCUCAAAUGGAUGGUGGUAUUCUUGUUGUGUCUGCCCCUGAUGGACCCAUGCCCCAGACAAAGGAGCACAUCUUACUUGCCCGCCAGGUAGGAGUACCAUCUUUGGUGUGCUUUCUGAACAAGGUUGAUGUUGUGGAUGAUGAAGAGCUACUGGAGCUUGUAGAAAUGGAACUUCGUGAGUUGCUUAGCUUCUACAAGUUCCCAGGUGAUGAGAUUCCUAUCAUCAGGGGUUCUGCAUUGUCAGCUUUACAGGGUACUAACGAAGAAAUUGGAAGGAAAGCAAUUUUGAAAUUGAUGGAAGCAGUGGAUGAGUACAUUCCAGAACCAAAGCGAGUUCUUGACAAACCAUUCCUUAUGCCCAUAGAAGAUGUUUUUUCCAUUCAGGGUCGUGGAACAGUGGUUACUGGACGUGUUGAGCAGGGAACUAUUAAAGUUGGUGAGGAUGUUGAAGUGCUAGGACUAAAAGAGGGAGCUCCAACAAAGAGUACUGUUACUGGUGUGGAGAUGUUUAAGAAAAUACUUGACCGAGGCGAGGCUGGAGAUAAUGUAGGUCUCCUUAUGCGUGGGCUGAAGCGUGAUGAUGUCUUCCGAGGGCAGGUUGUUUGCAAGCCAGGUACAGUUAAAACACACAAGAAGUUUGAGGCAGAAAUAUACGUACUUACAAAGGAUGAAGGUGGCCGCCAUACAGCCUUUUUCUCCAAUUAUAAACCACAAUUCUAUUUGAGAACAGCAGAUGUGACUGGCAAGGUUGAGCUACCAGAGAAUGUCAAGAUGGUCAUGCCCGGUGACAAUGUUACUGCAGUUUUUGAACUUAUAUCACCUGUAGCAAUUGAACCUGGACAACGGUUUGCUCUAAGGGAAGGAGGCCGGACUGUUGGCGCAGGGGUGAUCUCAAAGGUCUUUUAGAUAGAAAAUGGGAAGGAUAGAUAUUUGUUUUCAUACUACAGUGAGGGAAAUUUUGAAGGAAACAGCCGCUCAAAUGUUAGGUGCGGAUGAGGCAAAGGCUUAUCUUUGCACUGGGUAAAGAAAUGUGUGCAGAUGUAUUUUGGUAUUCACUUAAGUAAAGAACUUGCAGGGAUGGGAUAAGUGAAAAAACAAGGAAGGUCUGUCUCUCUCUUUUUUGUGCCAAGGAUGAGUUGAACUAAGCUAGAUUUCCAGUUCAUUGCCAGCAUUUUUGUGCCAUAGUCAGGAUUCCAAGUUCAGGAUUCCAAGUUUAUGACCAGUAGUAUAAUUAGGAUUUUAAGUUUGUGAUCGGGAGUUUUGGGUUGUUGGGAUAAGAAAUUGAAUCAAAUGAUGAUUAUGCAUGUUUUUUCACCCUGUAAUUUUUAUUUUAUUCACAAAACGCGGCAUAGUUGAUAUAAUGGAACCAAUUAUUUAGCACCAGCUAUAUUUUAAAAGUUGAUGUAAUAAAUGUUGAGAUGAUAUAUGUGAUAUCUUCACCACAAUAGUCAUGUAUAUUGCAGUGCCAUGUUGUGGACACCGUUCAUUUAAAUGCAGAUGAUCUAUACUGCCAUUUUAUUGUACCA